AAGAGGUGAGGGUCAUGCUGUUCAGGUAUCUAUGAAAGAUGUCUAUUUUAAAGUAAGGACCACAAGGAGGAUGUUCAGUGUUCUCUCUUGAGCAUGAAGCUGGCUUUAGGUGUUGCUUCCACAACUGCCUAUUGCCAUUGAUGACAUUCUUUUCUCCCUUUGGGGGAGUAGGAGGAGAGGACAUAGUUUGAAUGGU
Molecule: small nucleolar RNA, 196 nt
Filed under: Neogale vison (American mink)
Lineage: Eukaryota; Metazoa; Chordata; Mammalia; Carnivora; Mustelidae
Description: Neovison vison (American mink) Small nucleolar RNA U3 (ENSNVIG00000006111.1)
Rfam family: Small nucleolar RNA U3 (bases 59-196)
About the family: Small nucleolar RNAs (snoRNAs) are involved in the processing and modification of rRNA in the nucleolus. There are two main classes of snoRNAs: the box C/D class, and the box H/ACA class.
Source: RNAcentral